CACGCCGUAAACGAUGAAUACUAGGUGUAGGGGUUGUCAUGAUCUCUGUGCCGCCGCUAACGCAUUAAGUAUUCCGCCUGGGGAGUACGGUCGCAAGAUUAAAACUCAAAGGAAUUGACGGGGGCCCGCACAAGCAGCGGAGCAUGUGGUUUAAUUCGAAGCAACGCGAAGAACCUUACCUAGACUUGACAUCUCCUGCAUUACUCUUAAUCGAGGAAGUCUCUUCGGAGACAGGAUGACAGGUGG
RNAcentral lists this ribosomal RNA (246 nucleotides) under uncultured Clostridium sp. RNAcentral describes it as "partial 16S ribosomal RNA". It matches the Rfam family "Bacterial small subunit ribosomal RNA", at positions 796 to 1041 of the family's 1533-position model. Lineage: Bacteria; Bacillati; Bacillota; Clostridia; Eubacteriales; Clostridiaceae. The record is from RNAcentral.